CCUACGGGAGGCAGCAGUGAGGAAUAUUGGUCAAUGGACGAGAGUCUGAACCAGCCAAGUAGCGUGAAGGAUGACUGCCCUAUGGGUUGUAAACUUCUUUUAUAUGGGAAUAAAAUGUUCCACGUGUGGGAUUUUGUAUGUACCAUAUGACUAAGGAUCGGCUAACUCCGUGCCAGCAGCCGCGGUAAUACGGAGGAUCCGAGCGUUAUCCGGAUUUAUUGGGUUUAAAGGGAGCGUAGGUGGAUUGUUAAGUCAGUUGUGAAAGUUUGCGGCUCAACCGUAAAAUUGCAGUUGAAACUGGCAGUCGUGAGUACAGUAGAGGUGGGCGGAAUUCGUGGUGUAGCGGUGAAAUGCUUAGAUAUCACGAAGAACUCCGAUUGCGAAGGCAGCUCACUGGACUGCAACUGACACUGAGGCUCGAAAGUGUGGGUAUCAAACAGGAUUAGAUACCCCAGUAGUC
RNAcentral lists this ribosomal RNA (460 nucleotides) under uncultured bacterium. RNAcentral's name for it is "partial 16S ribosomal RNA". It matches the Rfam family "Bacterial small subunit ribosomal RNA", at positions 338 to 795 of the family's 1533-position model. The record is from RNAcentral.